CCAUCUCGAGCCCAAUCCACCUCCACCUGGAGCUUUACCUCGCUUUGGACUCUUCUUAGCUCUUAAAGCUCCACCUCAUAUUGGGCUCCCCAUCAGGUAGUAAUAUCCUCUCAUCCUCUUUUUUUUCUCCAGAAUAAUAUUAUCAUUGCCCAAUACCAUUAGGAUUCCUCCACCAGCUACUGUUCUAUAGUCUCUCGAAUCU
RNAcentral lists this long non-coding RNA (202 nucleotides) under Elaeis guineensis (African oil palm). RNAcentral's name for it is "long non-coding RNA (EGUI_LNC062836)". Lineage: Eukaryota; Viridiplantae; Streptophyta; Magnoliopsida; Arecales; Arecaceae. The record is from RNAcentral.